GGGUGACAAAAGUGAGACUCUAUCUCAAAAAAAAAAAAAAAGAAGAAAAGAAAAAUGUAUAUUUGGGGGUAGGAGAAAUAGGAUAUUGGAAGACAGCCCUACAUAUGGGGUUUAGGAAAGAGAAGGAGGACAUUAAGAGAAUAUUGGUUAUUCUUUGGUGGGGUCAGGUAUACUCUGAUCAACAGAGAUGAAAUUUGUGGUUUUUUCCCCUGUUUUCUAGAGCGAGAUGUCAGCAAAUUGCCUUCCUUCUUCUUGCUGCAAAGAAUGCUGGUACCACCAGCCCUGACAUGUGCAUGCAAAGAGAGCAGCAGAUGAGACAGAGACUCCAGCAUCAAUUCCUCUUGAGCACAGAAGUCCAAUUGUCCCAUUUUGCACAGUUUGCGUCCCCGGCAUCUUUGGACAAUUCAAGGAGAAGAGAUUCCUCCAGAGG
This 430-nucleotide long non-coding RNA is filed under the name Homo sapiens (human). RNAcentral describes it as "HSALNT0124012". The record is from RNAcentral. Lineage: Eukaryota; Metazoa; Chordata; Mammalia; Primates; Hominidae.